GACAGAGGGUGCAAACGUUGUUCGGAAUUACUGGGCGUAAAGCGCGUGUAGGCGGCCCUGCAAGUCGGAUGUGAAAUCCCACGGCUCAACCGUGGAAGUGCAUUCGAAACUGCAGGGCUAGAGUCCUGGAGAGGAAGGUGGAAUGCUUGGUGUAGAGGUGAAAUUCGUAGAUAUCAAGCGGAACACCGGUGGCGAAGGCGGCCUUCUGGACAGUGACUGGACGCUGAGA
Molecule: ribosomal RNA, 229 nt
Filed under: uncultured bacterium
Lineage: Bacteria
Description: partial 16S ribosomal RNA
Rfam family: Bacterial small subunit ribosomal RNA
Source: RNAcentral